Taeniopygia guttata (zebra finch) is the source of this 1792-nucleotide non-coding RNA. The record is from RefSeq and is a predicted model, not a curated record. NCBI's taxonomy places the organism in Eukaryota, Metazoa, Chordata, Aves, Passeriformes, Estrildidae.
CAGUCCAGCCACAGGGCAAAGUGGAAGGCUCAGAGACACCCAGGCCUCCCCAGGCAGGAACAAUCAGUCCAUCAUUUGCUUUUGCACCUCUGCUCCCUCCCACUUAUCCAACAGCUCCUUGUCCAGGCUGCUGCAAGCACCAUCCCUACGUCCAGGCAGGAUAUUACCAUUCAGUCAGCCUGAGGCAGCUACCCUAUUGAAAUGAGCAUUAAAAUCUGCCAGAGAAACUUCUCAUCUAGGAAUUGGACUUCCAAAUCCAUUAGAUGCAUCUGCAAACCUUAGACACAAACAGGAGCACAGUUUGAAAUGUUCCGGGGUAUCUCCCCUGCCCCAUCUGGUGCUUGAUCAUAAGCAAUUAGCAAAACAUUGUGAACUUUUUGAAAAAUCCAUCUACAAGUAAUCCCCAAAGUGAAAUGGUCUCAGCACAGAAUCCUCCUGCUCCAAACCUGCAGGAAUGAGGAGGAAAUAAGAAUUUAACAAUUUAAUAUUCCAGUCAGCUGGGUUUUGUUUAUUAAUCCCUCAUCUUUUCAAGCAAGCAGAGCUGGUGCUGUCUCCUCUUGGAGACACGAGCUUGGAGCUAAUGGCAAUGGAGACUUUGAGAGAGGCAAUGGAUAGAGGCAAAGUUUGGCAUUGAUUGGAAUCAUCUUGUGCAGGAGCUUGUUUCACUGCAAGGAAGCAAAGUGGGAAGCCCAGCUGCACCCAGUGGGGAUAGAACCAGCCUGGAAUGCCUCCUCUAGGGGUGGAUCAUGGGAAUCAUCCCGGGCUGUGGCCCUGCCUGUGCUGUGGCAUUGCUGGCAGAGCCCAUGUGCUCCUCAGGGCAGGUCAGGCUCAGCCUUCAGGCUGGGUUCCAAGUUGCUCAUUGGUUUUUAAAGCAGAAGCUGGGGCCAAAGGCAGCAGCAGGCUCAGAAAUGCUCUUCUGUGGCUGAUCUGGUCCUAAAGGGAAUAAAAGCACGUUGAUCAGUCUGACAGACACCUCUGGCAGUUCCUGUGGGACAAAGUGCCUGUUGAGAGCUGCUUCCCUUCCUCCCGAUGUCUGAAGGGCAGCCGUUUUUGGUAUCCUCAAAAUAUUGCCCUUGUACCCCUGUCCUGUUGCUUGUCUCCUUCUGCUUGGAACUCAGCAGGAAUGUGAAGCCUGAGAUGGAUGGGAUGAGAGUCUGGAGACAAGGCAAGGCAGCAGAGCUCCCUCUGGAGCUGGAGCCCGCUGCAGCUCUAGAGGGAAGAGUCCUUGGGUCUGAUCCAUGAAACUGAGCCCAACAAAGCCAAGCACGUGCCCAGUCCUGCCUGUGGCUCUGGCUCUUGGCUGCAGGUGCUUUAUGCCAGACUCGCUUUCCAGUCUGGGCACUAAGGAGGUGCAAUUCCUUGUGCAGUUGUCCUGCUGGACACACAGAGAAGUGCUACUGGAUAACCUGCUAGUGCAGCCUGAGCCUCAUGGGAUUGCAGGCUGCAGACACUUGUCCAAGAAAUCAAGUACAAGUUGUUCACAAGUUUAUCCCCCUGCUGCUCUGGUAGCAUCACUGCUGUUCUGGCAUUGCGCAGAGAAACAGUGAAAGAGCCUAUUCCUGACCUUGAUCAGUAGGGCUUUUCCUUCCCAGAACUGGAAAAUGUGAUGUGCUUCUGCUCUGGAGGUGGAGAGCCUGGACUCACUCCUUGAUUGCUCUCUGGCCUAACAAAUGAGUCUUGAUUCCUCCCACAGGAGGAAUUUUUCACCUCAGGCUGGUUAAAAACCUUGCAGCCCAGCUGCAAAGCAGAGGCAGCAAUUCCUGACAGCCCAGAGCUGCCCAACUUCCAAAGA